UAGAAUCAUCAACUGUGGGGCAAGAGAAGACCUGAGAAAUAUAACUAUUCUCUUAGCAACAGGGAGCAACAGAAGCAAGAUGAAAGAUGAUGAAAUCAAGCCUCUUUAGCCUAAGAACCACUAGCAGUGAGAAGAGAGGUUUGGGGUGAGAAAGCAGAUGCAUGGAACACUGGCCCAUUUACUUCCAAAAAUAUUAAAUCCCUUUUCACAACUGAUCACUCAACUGAGCGAUUAAGGUGCUCACUAUCUGUUGGAGUUUGUUUUCCAAAAAGCCUGAGCACUCAUGGAAGUACCUUAUGGGAACUUCCUUAGGGAUGACCUUGCUUAAUAGGUAAACCUGCUUAAUCG
RNAcentral lists this long non-coding RNA (348 nucleotides) under Homo sapiens (human). Its description in RNAcentral is "HSALNT0151409". The record is from RNAcentral. Lineage: Eukaryota; Metazoa; Chordata; Mammalia; Primates; Hominidae.